This 500-nucleotide ribosomal RNA is filed under the name uncultured bacterium. RNAcentral's name for it is "bacterial SSU rRNA". It matches the Rfam family "Bacterial small subunit ribosomal RNA", at positions 8 to 503 of the family's 1533-position model. The record is from RNAcentral.
AGAGUUUGAUCCUGGCUCAGGAUGAACGCUGGCGGCGUGCCUAACACAUGCAAGUCGAACGUGAUCUUUAUUUCGGUAAAGUGAAAGUGGCGAACGGGUGAGUAACACGUUGGUGACCUGCCCCGAAGCGGGGGAUAACUCUGGGAAACCAGAGCUAAAACCCCAGAUGUUUAAGGGUUUAGACGCCUUAAACUAAAACUCCGGUGCUUCGGGAGGGGCCUGCGGGCUAUCAGCUAGUUGGUAGGGUAAAGGCCUACCAAGGCGAAGACGGGUAGCCGGCCUGAGAGGGUGGUCGGCCACAUUGGGACUGAGACACUGCCCAGACUCCUACGGGAGGCUGCAGUCGAGAAUCUUUCGCAAUGCCCGGAAGGGUGACGAAGCGACGCCGCGUGUGGGAAGAAGGCCUUCGGGUUGUAAACCACUGUCGGGAGUUAAGAAGUGUAAGGGGGUGAAUAGUCCUCUUACUUGACGUUAGCUCCGGAGGAAGCCACGGCUAACUC